UGGGGAAUAUUGCACAAUGGAGGGAACUCUGAUGCAGCGACGCCGCGUGAGUGAUGAAGGAAUUCGUUUCGUAAAACUCUGUUCUAUGGGAAGAAAAGGACUGUACCAUAGGAGAAAGCUCCGGCUAAAUACGUGCCAGCAGCCGCGGUAAUACGUAUGGAGCGAGCGUUGUCCGGAAUUAUUGUGCGUAAAGGGUGCGCAGGCGGCUUUACAAGUUGGAUGUGAAAUAUUGUGGCUCAACCACAAACGUGCAUCCAAAACUGCAAAGCUUGAGUUAAGGAGAGGUAAGUGGAAUUCCUGGUGUAGCGGUGGAAUGCGUAGAUAUCAGGAGGAAUACCGGUGGCGAAGGCGACUUACUGGACUUAAACUGACGCUCAGGCACGAAAGCGUGGGGAGCAAACAGG
Molecule: ribosomal RNA, 404 nt
Filed under: Fusobacteriota bacterium
Lineage: Bacteria; Fusobacteriati; Fusobacteriota
Description: Fusobacteria bacterium partial 16S ribosomal RNA
Rfam family: Bacterial small subunit ribosomal RNA
Source: RNAcentral